RNAcentral lists this long non-coding RNA (575 nucleotides) under Medicago truncatula (barrel medic). Its description in RNAcentral is "long non-coding RNA (MTRU_LNC007889)". The record is from RNAcentral. Lineage: Eukaryota; Viridiplantae; Streptophyta; Magnoliopsida; Fabales; Fabaceae.
AGUCUUAUAUUAUGAAUAUAAGUACUGAAACUGAUCGGAAUAGCCACAUCAAUAUUUUCAUUUGUUCUAUCUACCCUACUUCUUAUCAUUUGUGAAGCACUAAAGAUGCUGAUAUCCUAUCUGACUUAUAAGCGAAUGUCGUGACGACUUCAGAGCUAUGCAAAUUUAUUAGAGUCGUUUGCUGGUUUAGUUUUCUUUUGCUGUCUAAAAUAUAUGAUAUUGAAGGGGAAUAUCAUUUAUUUCAAUCAAAAUAUUUUUUAGAAGAAACCUAUGAAGUAGAAUUUCUGGAACAAUUUGACCUUAUUCCUUAACUUGAGAAUAAAAUUAAAAGAGGUCUUGGACUGAGGAUCGAAUACAUGGCCUAGUAAUUGAGGAUCAAUAUACAGAAAAUUUUAGUAAGUUUAUCUUACCAACUAAUGAUCAUGAUAAAACAUAUCUUUAUUGAAGUUAAUUACUUUUGAAAUAUUUAGGAUGUUAGCUGAACUUUAGAAGAAACCUAUGAAGUAGAAUUUCUGGAACAAUUUGACCUUAUUCCUUAACUUGAGAAUAAAAUUAAAAGAGGUCUUGGACUGAGG